Molecule: ribosomal RNA, 763 nt
Filed under: uncultured Streptococcus sp.
Lineage: Bacteria; Bacillati; Bacillota; Bacilli; Lactobacillales; Streptococcaceae
Description: bacterial SSU rRNA
Rfam family: Bacterial small subunit ribosomal RNA
Source: RNAcentral
GACGAACGCUGGCGGCGUGCCUAAUACAUGCAAGUAGAACGCUGAAGGAGGAGCUUGCUCUUCUGGAUGAGUUGCGAACGGGUGAGUAACGCGUAGGUAACCUGCCUGGUAGCGGGGGAUAACUAUUGGAAACGAUAGCUAAUACCGCAUAAUAGUAGAUGUUGCAUGACAUUUACUUAAAAGGUGCAAUUGCAUCACUACCAGAUGGACCUGCGUUGUAUUAGCUAGUUGGUGGGGUAACGGCUCACCAAGGCGACGAUACAUAGCCGACCUGAGAGGGUGAUCGGCCACACUGGGACUGAGGCACGGCCCAGACUCCUACGGGAGGCAGCAGUAGGGAAUCUUCGGCAAUGGACGAAAGUCUGACCGAGCAACGCCGCGUGAGUGAAGAAGGUUUUCGGAUCGUAAAGCUCUGUUGUAAGAGAAGAACGAGUGUGAGAGUGGAAAGUUCACACUGUGACGGUAUCUUACCAGAAAGGGACGGCUAACUACGUGCCAGCAGCCGCGGUAAUACGUAGGUCCCGAGCGUUGUCCGGAUUUAUUGGGCGUAAAGCGAGCGCAGGCGGUUAGAUAAGUCUGAAGUUAAAGGCUGUGGCUUAACCAUAGUACGCUUUGGAAACUGUUUAACUUGAGUGCAAGAGGGGAGAGUGGAAUUCCAUGUGUAGCGGUGAAAUGCGUAGAUAUAUGGAGGAACACCGGUGGCGAAAGCGGCUCUCUGGCUUGUAACUGACGCUGAGGCUCGAAAGCGUGGGGAGCAAACAGG